AGAGUUUGAUCCUGGCUCAGAAUGAACGCUGGCGGCGUGCCUAACACAUGCAAGUCGGAUGUGCCGUAAGGUGCAUGGCAGACGGGUGAGUAACGCGUGGGGAAUCUACCUUUUUGUGGGGAAUAACGUUCCGAAAGGAAUGGUAAUACCGCAUGUGAUCACAGUUUGGGAUAGCUGUGAUGAAAGCUGGGGACCGCAAGGCCUAGCGCAAGAAGAGGAUCCUGCGUCUGAUUAGCUAGUUGGCGGGGUAAUGGCCCACCAAGGCGACGAUCAGUAGCCGGCCUGAGAGGGUGAUCGGCCACACUGGAACUGAGACACGGUCCAGACUCCUACGGGAGGCAGCAGUGGGGAAUUUUGCGCAAUGGACGAAAGUCUGACGCAGCAACGCCGCGUGGGUGAUGAAGGUCUUCGGAUCGUAAAACCCUGUCGUCAGGGACGAAGGUAAUGUGUCUAAUACGCAUGUUGCUUGACGGUACCUGGAGAGGAAGCCCCGGCUAACUCUGUGCCAGCAGCCGCGGUAAUACAGAGGGGGCAAGCGUUAUUCGGAAUUAUUGGGCGUAAAGGGCGCGUAGGCGGCUUUUUAAGUCAGAUGUGCAAUCCCCGAGCUCAACUUGGGAACUGCAUCUGAGACUGGAAGGCUCGAGUGCUGGAGAGGGUGGUAGAAUUCCACGUGUAGCGGUGAAAUGCGUAGAGAUGUGGAGGAAUACCAGUGGCGAAGGCGGCCACCUGGACAGUAACUGACGCUGAGGCGCGAAAGUGUGGGUAGCAAACAGGAUUAGAUACCCUGGUAGUCC
Molecule: ribosomal RNA, 794 nt
Filed under: uncultured bacterium
Lineage: Bacteria
Description: bacterial SSU rRNA
Rfam family: Bacterial small subunit ribosomal RNA
Source: RNAcentral